Molecule: non-coding RNA, 555 nt
Organism: Ciona savignyi (Pacific transparent sea squirt)
Lineage: Eukaryota; Metazoa; Chordata; Ascidiacea; Phlebobranchia; Cionidae
Source: Rfam
CUUGAUUCUGUGGGUGGUGGUGCAUGGCCGUUCUUAGUUGGUGGAGCGAUUUGUCUGGUUAAUUCCGAUAACGAACGAGACUCUGGCUUGCUAAAUAGUUACGCGACCCAUCCCCGGUCGGCGUUUAACUUCUUAGAGGGACAAGUGGCGUUUAGCCACACGAAGAUUAGCAAUAACAGGUCUGUGAUGCCCUUAGAUGUUCGGGGCCGCACGCGCGCUACACUGACCGGAUCAGCGUGUGCUCUCCUUGGCCGACAGGUCCGGGAAACCCGUUGAACCCCGGUCGUGCUAGGGAUAGGGAAUUGCAAUUAUUUCCCUUGAACGAGGAAUUCCCAGUAAGCGCGAGUCAUUAGCUCGCGUUGAUUACGUCCCUGCCCUUUGUACACACCGCCCGUCGCUACUACCGAUUGAAUGGUUUAGUGAGGUCCUCCGAUUGGACCCGGUCCGGGCGGCGACGUCCGAGCCGGCGUCCGAGAAGACGAUCUAACUUGAUCAUUUAGAGGAAGUAAAAGUCGUAACAAGGUUUCCGUAGGUGAACCUGCGGAAGGAUCAUUA